Molecule: long non-coding RNA, 2293 nt
Organism: Polyodon spathula (Mississippi paddlefish)
Lineage: Eukaryota; Metazoa; Chordata; Actinopteri; Acipenseriformes; Polyodontidae
Exons: 4
Source: RefSeq, a predicted model, not a curated record
GACACGAUUGCAACAUGUGUGAUGCUUCAGAAAGCGUGGGUCUUGAGCUCCUGGCAGAGGAUGUAAAGCAGGAAGCUCAAACAGAGGCUGUCUCUGAGAUAGAACAGCUCAGCAAGGAGGAUAAAGGAGGGAGACCAGCGUCUGCAGAUCCCAGAGAACAAGAACCACACUCCAGGCAAGACAGUGGACACUUACACCAUGAUGAGGGUCAAAGGGCUGGUGAGAAAGUCAAGGAAGAGCUGGAGAAACGAGUAGAAGAACAAGAAGCCAGUCAAGACAAACACUAGGAAGAAGUGGACCAAGAAAGUCAAGAGGUGGGCCAGGAAGGUGAACAGACAGCCCAGGAGGGACCUGGCCCUGGGGAGUGGAGAGUCGAGUCUCAGGGAGUCUGAAGAUGGAGAAGGGAAGGGAAAGCACUCGGAUCCUGGAGUAGACCCACUAGAAGACGUGUUGGUUUAUACUGGUUUACACGGACACUCCCACGACAUUGUUUGAAGAGAAAAAGGUCUGGUCAAAGCUCACCCACUAAACCUGGAGUGGGUGUUUGGAAUCGACCAGAAUCUCCCUGUGUUCAGUCUGCAAGAUGAAGGCAGGGUUGUGAUCCUGUAUGGAAGUUCUCACACCAUGGUGAUGUAUGACUAUACCAACAACACCCAGCACAUUCUCCAGUGCCCACGAAGCUGCAGCGUGCCUCGGAGGACAAGACCUGGUCCCGUUCUAUAGUCUAUUGGAAGAGGGGAGAGAUGGAGAGCUGUUUAGGGUAGGGGACAAAUGUUGCUGGCCUUACAAUCAGGAACAGUCAGCAAAGUACGCAUAAAACGGUUACAUUUCAGGUUCAUUUCAUGUUGACCGCUUUUCAUUUUACAUUUUUUCUUAUGUCCUCUACGAUAUAAGCUUGUGCAGACUUGACUGCGUACCUUAAAACAUUACUGGACUGCUUUGUUUGGAAUAAAAAUGUACUUGCUCAAAGUCCUGUUUCAGCAUUUGAUGUAUCCUUGUGUUUUUUUUUCCUAUAGUAGCUGGAAGACUAUUUUUAUUAUUGCCAGUUGCGAACUCAAGGUAUUGACACCAUGGAGACCAGGCAGGUGUCAAUAAAAAUCCCCCUGACUGAGACUCCCUUUGUGAUGCGGGCACUGGGGUUCUACCCAACCGAGCAGGAGGCAAGUCUGUAUAACGAGAUUCAAAUAGCAUCACUGUAACAAAGCACUUCAAAAUGGGCAGGAACCAGGUACUUUAGAAGUGAUUGUAGGUACAGUUGUAUGUUUAAAGUAAAAGCAUUAUCUAAACGCAUUUCCAUUUUACAGACUAUAAGGAAUGAAACCUGUGUUUAAAGAGUUUGUCUUUUCAGUCCGCAUUUUGAAGAUAUGCUCAGUGAAGUCAAAUUCAGUAAAUGUGUGGACUCCGGAAAGUAUGUGAUAGAUACCGAUUUAGCGAAAUUGUUAAAUCUGUAUAUAAACCACCAACCAGCUUUCGGCAUUUCAACAUACAAGCUGCAGCAUGCAUUUGAGGUUUUGGACUUGGAAAACGAGAAUUGCGAGAAUGCACUGAACCAAGGGGAACUACUGCAGCUGCUGCAGAGCACAGGUUCAGAAUAUUUGCUGGAGAACGCUAUUCCAGAGGAAAUAACAGCAGAGAUGUUUACUGUUGAUAUUCUGGGUUUGCCUACAAUUAUUCUUGGGCCUGAACCUUCUGAAGAACAGCUGACAGCUCAGGAGUCAGAAUUAUCUUAGCUGUCAAGAUCAUGUCACUGUCUCCUGUAAUAAACACACACGGGCAAAUCCUGAGAGGGGAUGUGGAGCCCCGGUUUAAUUGCACUGUGUUAUAAUCCCUGUGGCGUAGCCCUACACUGCUUGAAUACUCCAUGCUAUAUUUUAUACUACAACAAUAAAAACGACUUUAAUCCCUGCUCAGAUCUUUCAGAAGUUUAAUUUUUCUUUAAAUGUGUUCUGGUUUCAGUAGAAUGCAAAUUGUUACCAUAGGUAGGGUGGUCCAAGAUCAGUGCCCAUCAGCUUGUGAAACCAGCCAUGUACUAAUAGUGCAUGUUGUGUGCAUGCUUUUGUUGUUGCCGUGUUGGGCAUGACCAAGUCUCCUGAAGCUUUCUUGUAGCACUGCUAAUUAUUGGCCCGGUGGUGAACUCUGUUAUACAUUUGAAGAAUGAUCUCAACCUCACAUUUAUGAAAAUAUAUCUCAGGUAUAGCCUUGUUUACUAAUACAGUAAUAUGUGUUUUAUUGACCGGGAAAGAUGUCUGCUGUAAAGUACUGGCUAUUUUCUUUAUGAAUAAUGUUGUUUAAU